CCCUUUGUUUGUGUCCUAGUGCGUGCAUGCAUGUGUGUGCAUGUGUGUGGUUGUGCGCGCUCUUAAAGGUGGUUGAGCGUGCACUUGUCCCUGCACUUGUGUGUAUAUUAUUGUGUGCUUUUUUCAAUCAUCAUCUUGAAUCAACUGUAAGCGCAGAUGUGCUGUGACCUGACUAAGAUCAGAUAAAGUGCCCCCCCCCCUCCUACCCUCCUCCCCCCAGCUCCAUUUGUCAUGGGCCAGCUGUCGGGCUGCUGUGAUUGGUUGUUGUGGGAGACAGAUAGCCGAUAGGCUCUGAUUAACAGUAGUGGCUCUGGAACUUACUCAUUGAUCAAGAAGACAGGGGAGGAGGAGGGAGAGGACAGGAGAGGAGGAGGGAGAGGACAGGAGAGGAGGAGGGAGAGGACAGGAGAGGAGGAGGGAGAGGACAGGAGAGGGGGAGGGAGAGGACAGGAGAGGGAGAGGACAGGAGAGGGGGAGGGGGAGGACAGGAG
RNAcentral lists this long non-coding RNA (491 nucleotides) under Salmo salar (Atlantic salmon). RNAcentral describes it as "lncRNA (ENSSSAG00000108482.1, ENSSSAG00000120685.1)". The record is from RNAcentral. Lineage: Eukaryota; Metazoa; Chordata; Actinopteri; Salmoniformes; Salmonidae.